This 461-nucleotide long non-coding RNA is filed under the name Mytilus galloprovincialis (Mediterranean mussel). The record is from RNAcentral. Lineage: Eukaryota; Metazoa; Mollusca; Bivalvia; Mytilida; Mytilidae.
AUUGUCUUUUGUUUUUUGUUACACUUCAGUGUUUCUGUUGUUUUGUUAUUUUACUCUUAUAUUUGAUGUGUUUCCCUCAGGUUUGUUUGUGACCCGGAUUUGGUUUCUAUCAAUCGAUUUAUGACCUUCGAACAACGGUAAACUACUGUUGCCUUUACUUAUCAUCUUAAUAACGAGUGACAUUAUUCUCAGUUUAUUUGUCUUUCUAAAUUAUUAUUUUUACUGUUUAGUCUAUUUUUGGCAAUAUCCAUUUGACGUGGCUUUGUACGUAAUUGUGUUAUUUUGCUGUGGUAAAUUUUUGUAUUCUUGUCUUUCAUUUUAGCUAAUGUGCUUUGUCUGUAUGCCUUUUUGUUUUCUUCGUUGACAUAUUUGUUUGCUGUCAAAUUGAUUAGGAUCAUAACACACUGUUAACUGCUGUACCCUUUAUUUUGGGCAUUUUUACCUAUUAUGUCUGUUUGUUU